This is an RNA transcript of Actinia tenebrosa (Australian red waratah sea anemone), 1620 nucleotides long. It is a transcript of the gene named histamine H2 receptor, with no coding region annotated. NCBI's taxonomy places the organism in Eukaryota, Metazoa, Cnidaria, Anthozoa, Actiniaria, Actiniidae. The record is from RefSeq and is a predicted model, not a curated record.
UAAUUCAAAAAUGGUCUAUAAAUCAAUCAAUAUUUUGUCUCUCAAAAGCUACUUAAAAUGGGUGGCCGUUAGAAGAGUUUGACAUUGCUAAAGCGAAAAAUGCGCGUGGUAAAGAAAAAUCGGGUCACAAGAUCAAAGACGAGAAGAUCUGCCCGCGCACAUACCUUGACGGCAUGAAUCACGGCUCAAGCUGAAAUCACAAUCAUUUUGUGGCGAGACGUUAGGAGGGGGACACCGCAUUUUGGCUACGUCCUAAGCUGUCUAGAAUAAUAAGUUAAAAAACCUAGCAUGGAAAAGGCCAGGACUUAAACACUAAUCUCAUUUAAAAUCACGGUUUCAGAACUGUAGGAGCUCUAAUACACUCCUCAAACUACUAAUUUUUUUUCGCAAUUCUACGUACAUCAAUGAUAGCUGUUUUUUGAGCAUUCAUGAGCAUGCAGUUUGAAUGGCAGAUGUGACAGAAGUAACAAGUUGAUUUCCUACUGAAUCAAAGAUAUCAUAAGCCGUUUCAAGGCCCAUUUCGCAAGUUAUAAGUCCAAAGCUGGCGCACUUGACGAACACAAGGAGACUAUUGAUGGACAUUCUCUACGAAAGGAUAUGCAAAAGAUCAAAAUGGAAUAAGCCGCGAUAUUAGAGUUUGAGUGUCUCGCACUUGCUGAAGCCGUCCGCUUAUUCAAAGCCAAGGAAGUUGCUAGAUAGGGAAGAAUUUGUUUUAUACCUACGCCAGACCACACAUUCUUCAAACAAUGAUGAGAAUCACUCAAAUUCGCAAGAAUAAAGGUAGCGAAACUCCCUAAUUCACCAUGCAAAGAAGAAGCAUGUAGAAAAACAAACAAGAGGACACGGAAACUGGUGAGGAGGAGGAAACAAAAUCCGGACAACAUCCAAGAUAACAGCCCUCAAGAAGCCUACGCGAUUCAGAAACACUUAUUGGACCUCCCUUAAGAAAACCAUUUGGGAAUAAACGGAAACUGGUGAUGAGGAGAAAACAAAAUCCGGCCAACAUCCAAGAUAACAGCCCUCAAGAAGCCUACGCAAUCAUUCAGAAACACUUAUUAUACCUCCCUUAAGAAAACCAUUUGGGAAUUAAGUCAGCCAUCAUGAUUGACAAUAAAGCCAUUUGCCUUUUGGCGGCCGUAACUGACUUCUCCGUUUCUCGAAUCGAUCGCAGUUCAACUUCGUAUGUUAUCGUGUCUUAAGAAUCACCAUAUUGGUGCGCAUAAUAACUACAUAUUGCCUAGACGGUUCACCGAACCGAUAAAUUGAGAGAUUGGCAGCUAUGAUUACUUGGUGUGCCAUCAGAUUAUUAAAUAGCUCGUUAUUUAUCAAGGAAAUCGAAAUUUGUUUGCCAUCAACAGCAAUUAAUGCAUGCUGCAUUUUUUUUUUUUUUUUACAAAAUUUUCCCAACAGAUGAUCUCGUGAAAAAUUGUGAAAAUGAUUGGAUGAAACAUACACAAACUCUAAUAAUAAUAUAUAUAGAUGCAUAUAUCUUUGCCACUUUCUCUUCCUUCUGAGUGAAGUCGUUUAGAAAAAUAACCUCUAAGGGAACAAACGAGAUAAACAAAAAUGCCACGAAAAUGUGUUUUCAUUUGGAUUAAAGUAUUUGCCAAGUUCGUGUUA